GAAAGCAUGAGUAGCGAAGAGGAUUAGAUACCCUCGUAGUCCAUGCCGUAAACGAUGUGUGUUAGACGUUGGAAAUUUAUUUUCAGUGUCGCAGGGAAACCGAUAAACACACCGCCUGGGGAGUACGACCGCAAGGUUAAAACUCAAAUGAAUUGACGGGGACCCGCACAAGUAGUGGAGCAUGUGGUUUAAUUCGAAGAUACGCGCAGAACCUUACCAACACUUGACAUGUUCGUCGCGACUCUAAGAGAUUAGAGUUUUCGGUUCGGCCGGACGAAACACAGGUGCUGCAUGGCUGUCGUCAGCUCGUGUCGUGAGAUGUUGGGUUAAGUCCCGCAACGAGCGCAACCCUCACUUUUAGUUGCCAUCAUUAAGUUGGGCACUCUGAAAGAACUGCCAGUGAUAAGCUGGAGGAAGGUGGGGAUGACGUCAAGUCCUCAUGGCCCUUACGUGUUGGGCUACACACGUGCUACAAUGGUAUCUACAACAGGAAGCAAAACUGCGAAGUUAAGCAAAUCCCUAAAAGAUACCUCAGUUCGGAUUGCACUCUGCAACUCGAGUGCAUGAAGCUGGAAUUACUAGUAAUCGUGGAUCAGCGUGCCACGGUGAAUGCGUUCCCGGGUCUUGUACACACCGCCCGUCACACCAUGGGAGUUGGUUCUACCUUAAGGCAAGGUUUCAAACCCUUGACCACGGUAUAGUCAGCGACUGGGGUGAAGUCGUAACAAGGUAGCCGUAGGGGAACCUGCGGCUG
Molecule: ribosomal RNA, 754 nt
Filed under: marine metagenome
Description: bacterial SSU rRNA
Rfam family: Bacterial small subunit ribosomal RNA
Source: RNAcentral